RNAcentral lists this transfer RNA (85 nucleotides) under Cucurbitaria berberidis CBS 394.84. RNAcentral describes it as "tRNA-Asn". Lineage: Eukaryota; Fungi; Ascomycota; Dothideomycetes; Pleosporales; Cucurbitariaceae. The record is from RNAcentral.
UCCUCCGUGGCGCAAUUGGCUAGCGCGUUCGACUGUUAUUUACUAGCAAAUCGAGAGGUUGAAAGUUCGAGCCUUUCCGGGGGAG